RNAcentral lists this ribosomal RNA (789 nucleotides) under Diospilus sp. 3 BJS-2011. RNAcentral's name for it is "eukaryotic LSU rRNA". It matches the Rfam family "Eukaryotic large subunit ribosomal RNA", at positions 79 to 628 of the family's 3401-position model. Lineage: Eukaryota; Metazoa; Arthropoda; Insecta; Hymenoptera; Braconidae. The record is from RNAcentral.
CUUAGUAGCGGCGAGCGAACAGGAAAAAGCCCAGCACUGAAUCCCGUGGUGAUUGCCACUGGGAGUUGUAGUGUUCGGGAGGAUCCAAUUAUCCCGUGGCGUAUUCUCGUGUUCAAGUCCAUCUUGAAUGGGGCCAAUUACCCAUAGAGGGUGCCAGGCCCGUAGCGAUCGAGACGCGCCUCGGGAGGAUCUCUCCUUAGAGUCGGGUUGCUUGAGAGUGCAGCUCUAAGUGGGUGGUAAACUCCAUCUAAGGCUAAAUAUAACCACGAGACCGAUAGCGAACAAGUACCGCGAGGGAAAGUUGAAAAGAACUUUGAAGAGAGAGUUCAAGAGUACGUGAAACCGUUCAGGGGUAAACCUGAGAAACCCAAAAGAUCGAAAGGCGAGAUUCAUCGUCAGCGUAUUUCAUAUAUGUGCAAAUUGGUGAUGCAAUGUAUUCUCUUUAUGGGAAUAAUUUUUGUACACUUUUGUAUCAUUUAAUUGCUGAAUAUCGUCGGCGUGCACUUCUCGUCUAGUAGAACGUUGCGACCCGUUGGGUGUUGAUCUACGACCCAUUUGGUAGCCUUUAAUGUCAUCUUAUAGGUGUUACAUUGAAGACCAUUGGUGUUUUCCGAUUGACUGCCCGGCGGUAUGACAAUAUGAUAUUGAGUCGCUUUUGAAUGCGUCAAAUCUACGUUGCAAUUUUAAUAAGUGGCUAAGUAUUUUACGGACCUAGUGCCGUUGCUUAACAUUGUUAUAUUUGUUGUAGAAUUAUUUGACUGGCUCAUUGAAUAUAUAAAAUAUCGGUCA